RNAcentral lists this ribosomal RNA (495 nucleotides) under uncultured bacterium. Its description in RNAcentral is "partial 16S ribosomal RNA". It matches the Rfam family "Bacterial small subunit ribosomal RNA", at positions 28 to 507 of the family's 1533-position model. The record is from RNAcentral.
GACGAACGCUGGCGGCGUGCCUAAUACAUGCAAGUAGAACGCUGAAGGAGGAGCUUGCUUCUCUGGAUGAGUUGCGAACGGGUGAGUAACGCGUAGGUAACCUGCCUGGUAGCGGGGGAUAACUCUUGGAAACGAUAGCUAAUACCGCAUAAUAGUAGAUGUUGCAUGACAUUUGCUUAAAAGGUGCAAUUGCAUCACUACCAGAUGGACCUGCGUUGUAUUAGCUAGUUGGUGAGGUAACGGCUCACCAAGGCAACGAUACAUAGCCGACCUGAGAGGGUGAUCGGCCACACUGGGACUGAGACACGGCCCAGACUCCUACGGGAGGCAGCAGUAGGGAAUCUUCGGCAAUGGACGGAAGGCUGACCGAGCAACGCCGCGUGAGGGAAGAAGGGUGUCGGAUCGUAAAGCUCUGUUGUAAGAGAAGAACGAGUGUGAGAGUGGAAAGUUCACACUGUGACGGUAUCUUACCAGAAAGGGACGGCUAACUACGUG